GGUUCUAGAGAUUUAUUUUAGCAUUAUUUUGUUAGUCGUUGUUAGAUCCUUUGGAAGUUUAUGGGAACUUUAGUUUUCUGCAUUUAAGCCUACUUCCAUAUAUAUAAAUUCUUAGUUUGAGGUUAUUUGAUUAGUGAUUAUGGCUCUCCCACAGGCGGGUUAAUGUGGUGUCACUCACGACGGUCUGGAUCGUGAAAAAGUUUGUAUCAGAGCCUAGGUUCAUUAAUCUCGAUGUACCAAAACAAGUCUAGCAGAGUUGCUGAACGACGCGAAAACGCCUACGGUUAAAACUAGAUUCAACGCGUGAGACCCGUAGCUCUCGUCAAUGAACCAAUUGAGGGGUCGCAACAAGAGGUUGCGGUCAAGGCAGGGACAGAGGAAGAGGCAGAGGCUGAGGAUGGGUUGCACUUACUUGGGAUGGAGAACCAGUUGAUAAUGCACCUAGAGGUGAUGUUCCUCCCUCACAUCAUGAAGAGGUAGAGAUAAUGUGGAUAACGGAGACGAGGAGGAUGUUGGACAGGAAGAGGAUACACCGGCUGGGAAUACUGGCGUCCCUCCCUUAGAUCCAAUGUUAUCUUAAAAAUAUCAUGACUUUUCUGAAGGGAUUGGUUGGUCAUGGAAUCCUUCCAGCAGGGCAAACAACUCAACACCCAAUUAAUCGCCUUGCUACUGUUACUUGUCUAAGGGGACAUACGACAUUAUGUAUUUAUUUCUUUUUCCGUCCUUUGUUGGGUCGUAUGAUUAUUGGGAAUGAACAUGACAUAUUUUUCAAACUAAAGCAUCCAGUGUUUCUUGGUUCUAAAAAUGAGGAUGCUUAUGAGUUUAUUUUAGAUUGUUAUGAGAGGCUGCAUAAGUUAGGUAUUGUACAUCAACAUGGGGUGGAUUGAUUCAUGACUUUCCAGCUUCAGUGUGUGACUAAGCAAUGGUGGAGAGCUUAUGUGGAAUGCAGAUCUUCAACUCUAGCCUGAGUCACUUGGACACAGUUUCAUGCUCUGUUUAUGGAAACUUAUGUGCCUCAAACUUUGAGGGAUCGUAAGAAUGAAAAGUUUAUGGAUUUGAAUCAAGGUGGUAUGUUCGUGUCUGCUUACGAGUUGAGUUUCAUGAUUUGUCUAGAUAUGCUCGCAAUUGGUGACUACUAAGGAAGAGAGGAUCCAUUUCUUUUUGUUGAGGGACUGAAUUCUGAGUAUUGUCUGUGCACAUGACUUCUGUAGGAAAAAGUUUUAAUGAGGUAAUAAUUUGUGAAGAAAGUGGAGGGGGUGAGGCGAGAGGGUUAUGCUAAGGCAAUGUGUAAGAAAGAAAAGAACUCAGGAAACUUUUAGGGCUCUUACUCUAGAUGAUCAAGUAGGCCAACACUUAAAGCCCAACCAAUUCAGUCUGCUAUCCGCCUAUAUAGGUAAUUACUUGGGAAAUCCACCUCCAAAUUUGAUUCAGGAUAGUAGGAAAUCACACCUUCGGCGGGUAGCAAGCAAUAUUUUGAUCGUACUCGUUAUAGCUGUGGAGAACCUGGGCAUAUUAGGAGAGAUUGUCCCCACAUGCACAAUAGCAGUCUAGAACAGUGGUACCUGCGUGGAAUGUUAAUAAUGGUCGAGGUCGUCAACAAUGUGAGAGAGGAGGAAAUCAACAAGGUCGUGGAGGUCGAGGAAAUGGUAAUACAGGCAAAACUAUAGCGCAGCGAGACAGGGAAGUCUCCCGUCAAGAUGACAGAGCUCAGUGUUACGCCUUUCUGGGCGAGAGCGAGGUAUAGUCUUCUGACGUGGUGAUCACAUGUACUAUUCUUGUCUGUGACCGGAUAAAUAAUGUGUUAAUUGAUCUGGGUUCUACUUA
This is a long non-coding RNA of Solanum pennellii, 1824 nucleotides long. RefSeq lists it as uncharacterized. The record is from RefSeq and is a predicted model, not a curated record. The transcript is spliced from 2 exons. Lineage: Eukaryota; Viridiplantae; Streptophyta; Magnoliopsida; Solanales; Solanaceae.